AGAGUUUGAUCCUGGCUCAGGAUGAACGCUAGCGGCAGGCUUAACACAUGCAAGUCGAGGGGCAGCAUGUCCAGCAAUGGAUGAUGGCGACCGGCGGAAGGGUGCGUAACGCGUGAGCAACAUGCCCUAUACAGGGAGAUACACCAGGGAAACUUGGUCUAAUAUCCCAUAGCAUUCAUUGAAGGCAUCUUUAAUGAAUUAAAGCUUCGGUGGUAUAGGAUUGGCUCGCGUGACAUUAGCCAGAUGGUGAGGUAACGGCUCACCAUAGCAAUGAUGUCUAGGGGUUUUGAGAGGAGGGCCCCCCACACUGGGACUGAGACACGGCCCAGACUCCUACGGGAGGCAGCAGUGAGGAAUAUUGGACAAUGGAUGGAAAUCUGAUCCAGCCAUGCCGCGUGCAGGAAGACGGCCUUAUGGGUUGUAAACUGCUUUUAUACGGGAGCAAUAAGGGUUACGAGUAAUCCGAUGAGAGUACUGUAUGAAUAAGGAUCGGCUAACUCCGUGCCAGCAGCCGCGGUAAUACGGGGGAUGCGAGCGUUAUCCGGAUUUAUUGGGUUUAAAGGGUGCGUAGGCGGAAAUGUAAGUCAGUGGUGAAAUCCUGCAGCUUAACUGUAGAAUAGCCGUUGAAACUGUGUUUCUUGAGUACAUUUGAGGUAGGCGGAAUGUGGUGUGUAGCGGUGAAAUGCAUAGAUAUACCACAGAACACCGAUUGCGAAGGCAGCUUACUAAACUGUCACUGACGCUGAUGCACGAAAGCGUGGGUAUCAAACAGGAUUAGAUACCCUGGUAGUCCACACAGUAAACGAUGAAUACUAGCUGUUUGCGAUACACUGCAAGCGGGUGAGCGAAAGCAUUAGGUAUCCCACCUGGGGAGUACGUUCGCAAGAAUGAAACUCAAAGGAAUUGACGGGGGCCCGCACAAGCGGAGGAACAUGUGGUUUAAUUCGAUGAUACGCGAGGAACCUUACCCGGGUUUGAAUUGCUGAUGGCGGUAUUUGGAGACAGAUACUUCCCUUCGGGGCGUCAGUGAAGGUGCUGCAUGGUUGUCGUCAGCUCGUGCCGUGAGGUGUCGGCUUAAGUGCCAUAACGAGCGCAACCCUUGCCGUUAGUUGCCAUCGGGUCAUGCCGGGCACUCUAUUGGGACUGCCAUCGUAAGAUGUGAGGAAGGUGGGGAGGACGUCAAAUCAGCACGGCCCUUAUGUCCGGGGCGACACACGUGUUACAAUGGGGGGUACAGUGGGAAGCUACCUGGCGACAGGUUGCGGAUCCCCAAAUCCUUUCUCAGUUCGGAUCGGAGUCUGUAACUCGACUCCGUGAAGUUGGAUUCGCUAGUAAUCGCGCAUCAGCCAUGGCGCGGUGAAUACGUUCCCGGGCCCCGCACUCACCGCCCGUCA
Molecule: ribosomal RNA, 1394 nt
Filed under: uncultured bacterium
Lineage: Bacteria
Description: 16S ribosomal RNA
Rfam family: Bacterial small subunit ribosomal RNA
Source: RNAcentral